This 253-nucleotide ribosomal RNA is filed under the name uncultured bacterium. RNAcentral describes it as "partial 16S ribosomal RNA". It matches the Rfam family "Bacterial small subunit ribosomal RNA", at positions 524 to 776 of the family's 1533-position model. The record is from RNAcentral.
UACGAAGGGGGCUAGCGUUGUUCGGAAUUACUGGGCGUAAAGGGCGCGUAGGCGGUGCCUCAAGUCAGGCGUGAAAGCCCCGGGCUCAACCUGGGAAUUGCAUUCGAGACUGCAUUGCUGGAGUACGGAAGAGGAAGGCGGAAUUCCCGGUGUAGCGGUGAAAUGCGUAGAUAUCGGGAGGAACAUCAGUGGCGAAGGCGGCCUUCUGGUCCAGUACUGACACUCAAGUGCGAAAGCGUGGGGAGCGAACAGG